AGAGUUUGAUCCUGGCUCAGGAUGAACGCUAGCGGCAGGCUUAAUACAUGCAAGUCGAGGGGCAGCAUGAUUGUAGCAAUACAAUUGAUGGCGACCGGCAAACGGGUGCGGAACACGUACACAACCUUCCAACAAGUGGGGGAUAGCCCAGAGAAAUUUGGAUUAAUACCCCGUAACAUAGCGAUGUGGCAUCACAUUGCUAUUAUAGAUUUUUCGCUUGUUGAUGGGUGUGCGGCUGAUUAGAUAGUUGGCGGGGUAACGGCCCACCAAGUCUACGAUCAGUAGCUGAUGUGAGAGCAUGAUCAGCCACACGGGCACUGAGACACGGGCCCGACUCCUACGGGAGGCAGCAGUAAGGAAUAUUGGACAAUGGACGCAAGUCUGAUCCAGCCAUGCCGCGUGAAGGAUUAAGGUCCUCUGGAUUGUAAACUUCUUUUAUAAGGGACGAAAAAAGGCUUUUCUAAGUCGUCUGACGGUACCUUAUGAAUAAGCACCGGCUAACUCCGUGCCAGCAGCCGCGGUAAUACGGAGGGUGCAAGCGUUAUCCGGAUUCACUGGGUUUAAAGGGUGCGUAGGCGGGCAGGUAAGUCAGUGGUGAAAUCCUAGAGUUUAACUCUAGAACUGCCAUUGAUACUAUCUGUCUUGAAUAUUGUGGAGGUAAGCGGAAUAUGUCAUGUAGCGGUGAAAUGCUUAGAUAUGACAUAGAACACCUAUUGCGAAGGCAGCUUACUACGCAUAUAUUGACGCUGAGGCACGAAAGCGUGGGGAUCAAACAGGAUUAGAUACCCCGGUAGUCCAA
Molecule: ribosomal RNA, 799 nt
Filed under: uncultured bacterium
Lineage: Bacteria
Description: bacterial SSU rRNA
Rfam family: Bacterial small subunit ribosomal RNA
Source: RNAcentral